This 531-nucleotide ribosomal RNA is filed under the name uncultured bacterium. RNAcentral's name for it is "bacterial SSU rRNA". It matches the Rfam family "Bacterial small subunit ribosomal RNA", at positions 355 to 897 of the family's 1533-position model. The record is from RNAcentral.
UGGGGAAUAUUGCACAAUGGGCGGAAGCCUGAUGCAGCGACGCCGCGUGGGGGAUGAAGGCCUUCGGGUUGUAAACUCCUUUCGACAGGGACGAAGCUUUUGUGACGGUACCUGUAUAAGAAGCACCGGCUAACUACGUGCCAGCAGCCGCGGUAAUACGUAGGGUGCGAGCGUUGUCCGGAAUUACUGGGCGUAAAGAGCUCGUAGGUGGUUUGUCGCGUCGUCUGUGAAAUUCCGGGGCUUAACUCCGGGCGUGCAGGCGAUACGGGCUGACUUGAGUGCUGUAGGGGAGACUGGAAUUCCUGGUGUAGCGGUGAAAUGCGCAGAUAUCAGGAGGAACACCGAUGGCGAAGGCAGGUCUCUGGGCAGUAACUGACGCUGAGGAGCGAAAGCAUGGGUAGCGAACAGGAUUAGAUACCCUGGUAGUCCAUGCCGUAAACGGUGGGCGCUAGGUGUAGGGGGCUUCCACGUCUUCUGUGCCGUAGCUAACGCAUUAAGCGCCCCGCCUGGGGAGUACGGCCGCAAGGCUAA